This is a long non-coding RNA of Calidris pugnax (ruff), 2861 nucleotides long. RefSeq lists it as uncharacterized. The transcript is spliced from 3 exons. The record is from RefSeq and is a predicted model, not a curated record. NCBI's taxonomy places the organism in Eukaryota, Metazoa, Chordata, Aves, Charadriiformes, Scolopacidae.
UGUUCCAGCUCUGCACAGCACCUUAGUGUCUCUGGAGCUUCUUGUAACUGAUGUAUUUUGCGGAGAAGCCAAAGAGAAGACCAGGUGUUACACCAGGAACCCAGAAAUCCACAUCUGAAAAACUGUAUCAAGCACAUAUGGACAAAAUCACAAAUCUGGUUGAUAAACUCUGAAAUGAUUACUUGAUGCAAUAGACUUUUUGAAAGCAUUGUCAGUGGAGAAUGGAUGUCCUUAUGCAGAGCCUGUUUCUCUACUACAUCAAGCACUUCAAAAAUGCUCCAUCAGAACUUGACUUUCCAGAUGCAAACAACACACAGCUCAUCAGGCCAUAUGUCUUCCUGAAAGAGAUGACUAGAACAUUGAAGCUAACACCUCUGGAGCAACCAGCUCUGCCUACACAUCAAGCUGCCAGAAGAAACCAUUCUAAAGUUGCAAACGCUGUUUAAUACCAUACAAUUCCAAUGGGUAGGGCUCUCUUCAAGCAAGGCUUUCUGUAGCAGCUCGGGAAGCAGAAAGAGAUGAGAGACAUUGCAAGAGGAGGAGGAAAACGAAACUGUUUUAUAUCAUAGAACUGUAAGGUCCCUUCCAACCUAAACCGAUCAUUGAGUUCCAACCCCCCUGCCAUGGGCAGGGACAACUCCCACUUGACGAGGUUACUCAAAGCCCCAUCCAGCCCGAUCUUAAAACACUUCCAGGAAUGGAGUGUCCACAGCUUCUGUGGGCAACCCAUCCCACUGUCUCACCAUCCUGUUAAAAAUAAAUACUUCUUCCUGAUAUCUGAUCUAAAUCUCCCCUCUUUCAGUUUAAAACCAUUAUCCUUUGUCCUAUUACUACACUCCCUGAUAGAGAGUCCCUCCCAUCUCUCCUGCAGGCCCCCUUUAGGUACUGAAAGGCUGUAAGGUCUCCCCAGAGCCUUCUCUUCUCCAGGUUGAACAACCCCAACUCUCUCAGCCUGUCCUCAUAUCGCACACUAGAGUUUCUCUGUCAUUACUAAGCAGCAGCACACAGGGUGCAGUGAAAGGGUUAGAAAAAAUAUAUAUGUAGCUUUUAACACAGAACAGAAGCAGGAACAGAAAUCCCCCUUUUUGCCAUUCUUCAACAUAAAGAGAGUGCAUGCUUGCUAAUACACCCAUCUCGAGGACUUCUCUGGAAGCACUUUUCAAGAUCAUCAGAGGUUAUUCUUAGUAACUCAGGGAAAAGGUUUCCACAUUUUAGGUGCAGACAAUGAGUUACAGUAAAAACUGUUAUCAGUGAAAAGCUAUAUGAGCUUUUCCACUGGCAAAAUGUAGUUACUGGAUGAAAGGGUUUUUUCCCUUGUUUCAUCAGUCAUCUGCUACUCUGCUAUGCCAUGGAAAUAGGUCAUGGAAAUACUAAUCAGAAGUUCUGGAUGAUAUCUUGCACCAAAGUAAGCACCAUCCAUCUCCCUUACAAUCUCUUUGCUGUUCUCUGAAGAGAGCACGAGCACACCGACAAAGAGCAAGGCUGGCCAUUAGCUGAAGCAGUGGUGGGUCUAAACAGUGGUUGGUGAGAUGUCACACAUAACACAGUGCUGAAGCGAGAGGUCUUUCCACAGGCAACUAGGACAGAUUCUUCAUUAAACGACUUCCUGACCUCAGUGCAGAAUAUUGGCCCGGCAUCAUCGAUGCUGGUAUUCUCAGCAUCACGCUGCGAUGCUGGGCUCUACACUGAAGUGUUGUGUGACAAGACUUAAUCACCACGGGGAGGACAAGAAAGAGGAAAAAACCCUAUUUAAGGGGACAACACAGUGCCCAAUGAAGCUACUAGCAGGAAUAUUGCUAAAGCAUCAGUUAUUUUUGUCAAAAUAAAAGACGACACUUCAUUCUACAGUGUACUUGUUGAGAUGCAAUAUACGACUUUAUUUUAUUUUUUAACACACCAUUUGAAGCAUUGUUCUGACAAACAGCUGCACUGCAGUGAAAAACCAAGAAAACCCCAUGUGAUCUCAGCUGUCUAUACAAAGGCCUGAAAAAUGGGAAGUAGGGCUUUUAAGCACACUUGGCUAAAGAUACUCAACAUCAGUCAAGUGGAGAUACUCAUGUAUCAUUCCAGUUCACAUCAUGGAUCUAUUACUGGAACACUCCCAUAACAAAGUUACAAUACACACGUACGUUCUCAGGACGGUCCAAUUCUAGGAGGCACUACAACAGUCUGAGAAAAUUGAGAAGCUGAAAAAUAUUACAGAAUAAGGAAAAUCUAAUGCAAGAGCUCGUCAACGUAUUUCUUCUGAAGCUUGGGGGAUUCAGGCAUAGUGCUAUAGACUGAGACAUGCUGUUCCAUGCAGAGGCAUAAAGUCAUAUACUUUUUAAACACAAAAGCAAGUAAGUUGCCACUACUAUUUUAUGCUGUUAAAUUUCCACUUUCUCACUUCUUGUUUGAAGAAACUUCCAACCAUUUCAGAACAUGUGCCUUUCCCCUGAGGACAAAAGGUGCUGGAUCUGCUCAGGACUGAAUUUCUGAUAAGUAUUCUUAGUUUCAAAACAGAUGAGGACUGAAUGCAUCUUGAAGACUGAAAAGCUAGUCACACCUGUCAGUUAAAGUGAAAAAGAUAAAAAUUUUGCUAGUCUUCCCAUGAACAACAAUUUUGAUUGAAAAAAGUUUCAUCUAGUAGAUAAUACCCAUUUAACAACAUAUUAUGUGUUACUAGAAGGGACAUGUUUAAAUCAGUCUUCAAGCAAAUUUCUUUAACUACAGCACAGUCACCUUAAACAUUUCCCCUGCACCUCCCAUCCCCCAAUUCCAAAUCUUUGUGGUCAUCCAAUACAGAGAUACAUAAAAUACCAAAGUCAACAACAGCUCUUAUUUGAUAUUUAAUGCUCAGAGUCUUCCUAUGGUGUGGGAGA